AGCGAACGCUGGCGGCAGGCCUAACACAUGCAAGUCGAACGAACUCUUCGGAGUUAGUGGCGGACGGGUGAGUAACACGUGGGAACGUGCCUUUAGGUUCGGAAUAACUCAGGGAAACUUGUGCUAAUACCGAAUGUGCCCUUCGGGGGAAAGAUUUAUCGCCUUUAGAGCGGCCCGCGUCUGAUUAGCUCGUUGGUGAGGUAAAGGCUCACCAAGGCGACGAUCAGUAGCUGGUCUGAGAGGAUGAUCAGCCACAUUGGGACUGGGACACGGCCCAUACUCCUACGGGGGGCAGCAGUGGGGAAUCUUGCGCAAUGGGCGAAAGCCUGACGCAGCCAUGCCGCGUGAAUGAUGAAGGUCUUAGGAUUGUAAAAUUCUUUCACCGGGGACGAUAAUGACGGUACCCGGAGAAGAAGCCCCGGCUAACUUCGUGCCAGCCGCCGCGGUAA
RNAcentral lists this ribosomal RNA (449 nucleotides) under uncultured bacterium. Its description in RNAcentral is "partial 16S ribosomal RNA". It matches the Rfam family "Bacterial small subunit ribosomal RNA", at positions 29 to 523 of the family's 1533-position model. The record is from RNAcentral.